Molecule: ribosomal RNA, 1402 nt
Filed under: bacterium Ph16
Lineage: Bacteria
Description: bacterial SSU rRNA
Rfam family: Bacterial small subunit ribosomal RNA
Source: RNAcentral
GGCAGGCCUAACACAUGCAAGUCGAGCGGUAGAGAGAAGCUUGCUUCUCUUGAGAGCGGCGGACGGGUGAGUAAUGCCUAGGAAUCUGCCUGGUAGUGGGGGAUAACGUUCGGAAACGGACGCUAAUACCGCAUACGUCCUACGGGAGAAAGCAGGGGACCUUCGGGCCUUGCGCUAUCAGAUGAGCCUAGGUCGGAUUAGCUAGUUGGUGGGGUAAUGGCUCACCAAGGCGACGAUCCGUAACUGGUCUGAGAGGAUGAUCAGUCACACUGGAACUGAGACACGGUCCAGACUCCUACGGGAGGCAGCAGUGGGGAAUAUUGGACAAUGGGCGAAAGCCUGAUCCAGCCAUGCCGCGUGUGUGAAGAAGGUCUUCGGAUUGUAAAGCACUUUAAGUUGGGAGGAGGUGUAGAUUAAUACUCUGCAAUUUUGACGUUACCGACAGAAUAAGCACCGGCUAACUCUGUGCCAGCAGCCGCGGUAAUACAGAGGGUGCAGCGUUAAUCGGGAUACUGGGCGUAAAGCGCGCGUAGGUGGUUUGUUAAGUUGGAUGUGAAAUCCCCGGGCUCAACCUGGGAACUGCAUUCAAAACUGACUGACUAGAGUAUGGUAGAGGGUGGUGGAAUUUCCUGUGUAGCGGUGAAAUGCGUAGAUAUAGGAAGGAACACCAGUGGCGAAGGCGACCACCUGGACUAAUACUGACACUGAGGUGCGAAAGCGUGGGGAGCAAACAGGAUUAGAUACCCUGGUAGUCCACGCCGUAAACGAUGUCAACUAGCCGUUGGAAGCCUUGAGCUUUUAGUGGCGCAGCUAACGCAUUAAGUUGACCGCCUGGGGAGUACGGCCGCAAGGUUAAAACUCAAAUGAAUUGACGGGGGCCCGCACAAGCGGUGGAGCAUGUGGUUUAAUUCGAAGCUAACGCGAAGAACCUUACCAGGCCUUGACAUCCAAUGAACUUUCUAGAGAUGGAUUGGUGCCUUCGGGAACAUUGAGACAGGUGCUGCAUGGCUGUCGUCAGCUCGUGUCGUGAAAUGUUGGGUUAAGUCCCGUAACGAGCGCAACCCUUGUCCUUAGUUACCAGCACGUAAUGGUGGGCACUCUAAGGAGACUGCCGGUGACAAACCGGAGGAAGGUGGGGAUGACGUCAAGUCAUCAUGGCCCUUACGGCCUGGGCUACACACGUGCUACAAUGGUCGGUACAGAGGGUUGCCAAGCCGCGAGGUGGAGCUAAUCCCAUAAAACCGAUCGUAGUCCGGAUCGCAGUCUGCAACUCGACUGCGUGAAGUCGGAAUCGCUAGUAAUCGCGAAUCAGAAUGUCGCGGUGAAUACGUUCCCGGGCCUUGUACACACCGCCCGUCACACCAUGGGAGUGGGUUGCACCAGAAGUAGCUAGUCUAACCUU